CCUACGGGGGGUAGCAGUGGGGAAUAUUGGACAAUGGGGGCAACCCUGAUCCAGCCAUGCCGCGUGUGUGAAGAAGGCCCUCGGGUUGUAAAGCACUUUCAGUGAGGAAGAACGCCUGGUGGUUAAUACCCAUCAGGAAAGACAUCACUCACAGAAGAAGCACCGGCUAACUCCGUGCCAGCAGCCGCGGUAAUACGGAGGGUGCGAGCGUUAAUCGGAAUUACUGGGCGUAAAGCGCGCGUAGGUGGCUUGAUAAGCCGGUUGUGAAAGCCCCGGGCUCAACCUGGGAACGGCAUCCGGAACUGUCAAGCUAGAGUGCAGGAGAGGAAGGUAGAAUUCCCGGUGUAGCGGUGAAAUGCGUAGAGAUCGGGAGGAAUACCAGUGGCGAAGGCGGCCUUCUGGACUGACACUGACACUGAGGUGCGAAAGCGUGGGUAGCAAACAGGAUUAGAUACCCCGGUAGUC
RNAcentral lists this ribosomal RNA (465 nucleotides) under Vreelandella stevensii. RNAcentral's name for it is "partial 16S ribosomal RNA". It matches the Rfam family "Bacterial small subunit ribosomal RNA", at positions 338 to 795 of the family's 1533-position model. The record is from RNAcentral. Lineage: Bacteria; Pseudomonadati; Pseudomonadota; Gammaproteobacteria; Oceanospirillales; Halomonadaceae.